RNAcentral lists this long non-coding RNA (567 nucleotides) under Fukomys damarensis (Damara mole-rat). RNAcentral's name for it is "lncRNA (ENSFDAG00000028060.1)". Lineage: Eukaryota; Metazoa; Chordata; Mammalia; Rodentia; Bathyergidae. The record is from RNAcentral.
UCUUAUUUUGUUUUCUCAGAAUGAAGAAAUGACCUGGUUCAGAACAGAAAGAGAGACUUUCUUUUGAUUGGGUAGAGAGUGAUAGAAAAGUACCAGAGGCAAUGUGGGGAAAGCAACGAAACUUUAAACAGGUGGCAGGACCCUCACACUGAAAAGGAGGGAUGACCCAGAAGAGUGAAAUUAACAUUAGAUGUGCUGGAGCAGCUCAUCCAGGAAUAUAUGAAUUUGAAUAUGAGCAGAGGAAGAGGGUGAAAUAAAUUAGCAUUCUUCUGCUGUGACUUGAAAAGUGCCCAAGAGAGAGCAACUACAUAUUUCAGACAAAGAACUUAGGAAGAAGAAGGAUGUUUGUUCAUAGCAAAAGGAAACAUUAUGGAUGUAUUGUCCUGUAUUUAUGAAGAAUCAAAGAUUUUGUGAGUAGACCUUAGAUUGUCAAAAGCUACCUACUGUGCUUGUAUCUGUAUCUCUGUAUCUAUGUAUAAAACUUCAUGUAACUUUAUUAUAAAUUAUGUAUAAUUUCAAACUAUGUAUUCAAUUUUGUGUAAAUAAAUAAGACAAGUAAGUCACAGC